AUGCCGCCACCACACCUUGCUGCCGUCGGCCAGCAGCACCGGCGGUGCGCCAGAUCUGGCCGCCUGCCAGACCCAGCAACCCUCCUCCGCAGGGCAACCACAAGAGGCGCACAACUCCCGGCCAGCAAACCUGCAGGUAAGCAGAGGUGGGAGGGCCGCCACCCCAACCCAUCCAUGGCCGGAUCUGAGAAGCGAAGCAGAGUCGCCACCUCAGACCGCAGGGAGCCGGAGGCGCCAUCCCGCGAGCAGCAACCGGAACCAGGGGACCACCGGAGGAGCCACCCUCCAGAUCCGCGGUCCUGGCCACCGGAGCGCCGCAACGCCGGGCCGCCGAGCAGGACGAGGGAGCGGCCUCCCUCCACCAGAGAUGCGCGCCUUCGCGCGGGGAACGCCCCGCCGCCGCCGUCCACGACGCGGGCUUAG
This 423-nucleotide ribosomal RNA is filed under the name Triticum aestivum (bread wheat). RNAcentral's name for it is "partial small subunit ribosomal RNA". Lineage: Eukaryota; Viridiplantae; Streptophyta; Magnoliopsida; Poales; Poaceae. The record is from RNAcentral.